Molecule: unclassified non-coding RNA, 217 nt
Filed under: Hevea brasiliensis (rubber tree)
Lineage: Eukaryota; Viridiplantae; Streptophyta; Magnoliopsida; Malpighiales; Euphorbiaceae
Source: RNAcentral
GAAAUAUCACAUUGGACCUAAAAAGUGAACCUUCAUCUGAUUGAAUAGUAAUCAUUAAACAGAACCCGAGCUACUUCAGCUGAAGUAGAUGCAGGUGCCAACAGUAAACACUCAUAUUAGAGGGAAAUAUCUCACAUAUCAUGCAGAUGAAAAAUAUAACUUCUUAUUCUUUAUUCCAAAAUUGAAAUUUCUCAUAUGUCAACAAAAGUUAUGUGGA